RNAcentral lists this long non-coding RNA (1018 nucleotides) under Lathyrus oleraceus (garden pea). RNAcentral's name for it is "Pisum sativum (pea) long non-coding RNA (PSAT_LNC038229)". The record is from RNAcentral. Lineage: Eukaryota; Viridiplantae; Streptophyta; Magnoliopsida; Fabales; Fabaceae.
UGGAAGUGAUAUUAGAGCUCAGGCAACAAUUUGUGCUCGAUACAAAAUAGCAGUCACUCUUCUUCGGAGCUUGGGAGGAUCUUAUUCAUCACAUCGUACUCAACAUGCAACACGGCACGAUAUCCUUCUGCAAUAACAAUGCAACAACACAAACACCCAAAAUCAGUUAAUUCCAAAACAAAUUUUUCAAUUAAGUAAGUUAUACAAAUUUUUCAGUUACAGUGGUGAAGCUUUUCUUACCAACAGUGAAGUUUUGGGAAAUGAAGAGGAAUUGAGAGAGGGACCACAAGCUGGAAUAAGGACAAAAUUCAAAACCUCUCUCAGUACAGCAGACCUCCACUACUCUGAGGAAACAAAAACACAGCAGAGGAAAGAGAUGAAUGGCAUAUAAAAGGAGGAUCACUGUUCACAAAAAACCCUAGAGGAGGUGAGCGGCUACCAUUCAGAAAAGGAGAAGAGAGCUGAAAAACCCUAAGUUUUGGAUAGUCGCCGCUGUUCACCUAUAGGGAAGAGAGGAUUCUGAAAAAACACAAAAGCGCUGUUACUGUUCACUAAGAGAAAGAGGAGUCGACGACAAGAAGAAAAGAAAGCCAUAGUUUUUCUUGGUGGUGAAGAGCGGACGAGAAGAUCAAAACCGGUUCAGGUAAAACGCUUACUCACAUUCGUCAGUCGAGCUCGCCGCAACCGGUUAGCUUCCUUUCCGAGCUUUAUUUCCAUAUUUCGAUUAUGCUUUGAAUUCCAUGUUUGAUUUAGGAACACCGUUGCCUGUUUGUUUGUGAUGUUAACUUGCUGUUAAGAUUUUGAUUUUCAAAAAUGGAAAGAAAACUGAGCUUUGGAUCGUUACUGUUUUCAACAUGAGCUUUGUUAUUCGUAGUCACUGUUUCAACAUGAGCUUUGUUAUUCGUAGUUACUGUUUUCCAACUUUGUGUUUUAUUUAAAAGGUUUGGUACAUCUUUUGUUAUAUUAUGUAGUAGUGUUUGAAACUAUCUAAUAGGGAUGUCGAUUUGGUUGAGUUGGU